AUGACAACAGUAGAAAGUGAAACCCUCUGUUUGUCUGCAGAAUUGGUAUAGAGGAGUAUUGGCGAUGCAAGUUUUUCCCCAUAACCCCAUCUGUGUUCUGCAGCUGUAACCUUGAGGGAUCACCUUUAGGAACAAGAAGAUGACUUGGUCUCCUUACUCUUUUUCUCCUUAGCCCGU
Molecule: unclassified non-coding RNA, 177 nt
Organism: Lepidothrix coronata (blue-crowned manakin)
Lineage: Eukaryota; Metazoa; Chordata; Aves; Passeriformes; Pipridae
Source: Ensembl